UACAGAGGGUGCGAGCGUUGUUCGGAAUUAUUGGGCGUAAAGGGCGCGUAGGCGGCGCCACAAGUCACUUGUGAAAACUCUGGGCUCAACUCAGAGCCUGCAAGCGAAACUGUGGUGCUGGAGUAUGGGAGAGGUGCGUGGAAUUCCCGGUGUAGCGGUGAAAUGCGUAGAUAUCAGGAGGAACACCUGCGGUGUAGACGGCUUUCUGGACCAUUACUGACACUGAGACACGAAAGCGUGGGUAGCAAACAGG
Molecule: ribosomal RNA, 253 nt
Filed under: uncultured bacterium
Lineage: Bacteria
Description: partial 16S ribosomal RNA
Rfam family: Bacterial small subunit ribosomal RNA
Source: RNAcentral